AACGAACGCUGGCGGCAGGCUUAACACAUGCAAGUCGAACGCCCCGCAAGGGAGUGGCAGACGGGUGAGUAACACGUGGGAACGUGCCCUAAGGUUUGAAUAUUCCCGGGAAACUGGGAGCAAUACCAAAUGUGACCGCAAGGUGAAAGAUUUAUCGCCUUAGGAUCGGCCCGCGUCGGAUUAGCUAGUUGGUGGGGUAAAAGCCUACCAAGGCGACGAUCCGUAGCUGGUCUGAGAGGACGACCAGCCACACUGGGACUGAGACACGGCCCAGACUCCUACGGGAGGCAGCAGUGGGAAUCUUGGACAAUGGGCGCAAGCCUGAUCCAGCCAUGCCGCGUGAGUGAUGAAGGCCUUAGGGUUGUAAAACUCUUUCGCCGAGGACGAUAAUGACGGUACUCGGAGAAGAAGCU
RNAcentral lists this ribosomal RNA (413 nucleotides) under uncultured bacterium. RNAcentral describes it as "bacterial SSU rRNA". It matches the Rfam family "Bacterial small subunit ribosomal RNA", at positions 29 to 492 of the family's 1533-position model. The record is from RNAcentral.